Molecule: ribosomal RNA, 233 nt
Filed under: uncultured Actinomycetales bacterium
Lineage: Bacteria; Bacillati; Actinomycetota; Actinomycetes; Actinomycetales
Description: partial 16S ribosomal RNA
Rfam family: Bacterial small subunit ribosomal RNA
Source: RNAcentral
GGCGAACGGGUGAGUAACACGUGGGUGAUCUGCCUUGCACUCUGGGAUAAGCUUGGGAAACUGGGUCUAAUACCGGAUAGGAACCGUCUUUAGUGUGGUGGUUGGAAAGUUUUUCGGUGCAAGAUGAGCUCGCGGCCUAUCAGCUUGUUGGUGGGGUAAUGGCCUACCAAGGCGUCGACGGGUAGCCGGCCUGAGAGGGUGUACGGCCACAUUGGGACUGAGAUACGGCCCAG